UUCUCUACAGAAAUGACAUAAACCUUAACGAAAUAUCACACAAUUCUGCCAUGGGCCUCAUCAGAAAGGUGUUGAGCAUAGGAGUUUUUCUUACCGAGGUUGAAGUUAAUUAAUUAUAUCCAACGAAUGCUUUUAAAAAGAUGACAAGGGUAAUAAAAAGAACUUCUUGAUAAUUUUUAGCAUAUACGAAGACUAAUCCCAACAAGUGGAGGAUCCACCAAUAAGUUAAUGAAAGGAUGACUUGGGAGGUUAGGGCAUUUCCUGCUCAUAUCUAAAGAAACUUUCUUUACACAAGGGAUGCGCUCCCACAAGUUUGGUAAAAUAUUUGUUUGGCCGAGGGCUUCCAACAAAAAUUACUUUAAAUAUAAGAAGCCGAGUAGGCGGGUUGAAUUGCUCAUUAUCAGACAAUCACUUAUCAUCUAGGACUCACAAUCGUUUAGAAAACCCUCAUACCGCUCAGCUAAAGAAAGAUGAUGGAGAGUUGGCAUUCCAGCCCGUUUUAGUGGAGGGGCGUGCUCCUGCAGGAAUGAUUUGAAAGAUCCAAAACCAAGUGUAAGAGGAGAGGUAGACCAAAAUUAAAAUGACUCUUAUGGUUCUGAAGGAUCUUUUUGUAUUGGAUCUUUCAGUAGUUGGAGGAUGGGCCAAACCGAGUAGCAAAAGUGAAUUCAUAUAGCUAACUUUUAUUUGAAAUGAGGCCCUUGUUUGAGCCCCAUUUUUGCCAAGAAAAUGC
Molecule: long non-coding RNA, 730 nt
Filed under: Olea europaea subsp. europaea
Lineage: Eukaryota; Viridiplantae; Streptophyta; Magnoliopsida; Lamiales; Oleaceae
Source: RNAcentral